RNAcentral lists this ribosomal RNA (226 nucleotides) under uncultured bacterium. RNAcentral's name for it is "partial 16S ribosomal RNA". It matches the Rfam family "Bacterial small subunit ribosomal RNA", at positions 538 to 763 of the family's 1533-position model. The record is from RNAcentral.
GCGUUGUCCGGAAUCAUUGGGCGUAAAGAGCGCGUAGGCGGCCAGAUAAGUCCGGUGUGAAAGUCACAGGCUCAACCUGUGAAUGCCGCUGGAAACUGUCUGGCUAGAGUCCGGGAGGGGCGAGUGGAAUUCCUGGUGUAGCGGUGAAAUGCGCAGAUAUCAGGAGGAACACCAAUGGCGAAGGCAGCUCGCUGGAACGGUACUGACGCUGAGGCGCGAAAGCGUG